CGGGAGGCAGCAGUAGGGAAUCUUCCACAAUGGACGAAAGUCUGAUGGAGCAACGCCGCGUGAGUGAAGAAGGUUUUCGGAUCGUAAAAUUCUGUGUUGGAGAAGAAUGUAUCUGAUAGUAACUGAUCAGGUAGUGACGGUAUCCAACCAGAAAGCCACGGCUAACUACGUGCCAGCAGCCGCGGUAAUACGUAGGUGGCAAGCGUUGUCCGGAUUUAUUGGGCGUAAAGCGAGCGCAGGCGGUUUCUUAAGUCUGAUGUGAAAGCCUUCGGCUCAACCGAAGAAGUGCAUCGGAAACUGGGAAACUUGAGUGCAGAAGAGGACAGUGGAACUCCAUGUGUAGCGGUGAAAUGCGUAGAUAUAUGGAAGAACACCAGUGGCGAAGGCGGCUGUCUGGUCUGUAACUGACGCUGAGGCUCGAAAGCAUGGGUAGCAAACAGGAUUAGAUACCCUGGUAGUCCAUGCCGUAAACGAUGAGUGCUAGGUGUUGGAGGGUUUCCGCCCUUCAGUGCCGCAGCUAACGCAUUAAGCACUCCGCCUGGGGAGUACGACCGCAAGGUUGAAACUCAAAGGAAUUGACGGGGGCCCGCACAAGCGGUGGAGCAUGUGGUUUAAUUCGAAGCAACGCGAAGAACCUUACCAGGUCUUGACAUCCUUUGACCACUCUAGAGAUAGAGCUUUCCCUUCGGGGACAAAGUGACAGGUGGUGCAUGGUUGUCGUCAGCUCGUGUCGUGAGAUGUUGGGUUAAGUCCCGCAACGAGCGCAACCCUUAUUACUAGUUGCCAGCAUUAAGUUGGGCACUCUAGUGAGACUGCCGGUGACAAACCGGAGGAAGGUGGGGACGACGUCAAAUCAUCAUGCCCCUUAUGACCUGGGCUACACACGUGCUACAAUGGAUGGUACAACGAGUUGCGAGACCGCGAGGUUUAGCUAAUCUCUUAAAACCAUUCUCAGUUCGGAUUGUAGGCUGCAACUCGCCUACAUGAAGCCGGAAUCGCUAGUAAUCGCGGAUCAGCAUGCCGCGGUGAAUACGUUCCCGGGCCUUGUACACACCGCCCGUCACACCAUGAGAGUUUGUAACACCCAAAGCCGGUGAGGUAACCCUUCGGGGAGCCAGCCGUCUAAG
RNAcentral lists this ribosomal RNA (1127 nucleotides) under Latilactobacillus sakei. RNAcentral's name for it is "bacterial SSU rRNA". It matches the Rfam family "Bacterial small subunit ribosomal RNA", at positions 342 to 1461 of the family's 1533-position model. The record is from RNAcentral. Lineage: Bacteria; Bacillati; Bacillota; Bacilli; Lactobacillales; Lactobacillaceae.